AUUGAACGCUGGCGGCAUGCCUUACACAUGCAAGUCGAACGGUAACAGGUCUUCGGAUGCUGACGAGUGGCGAACGGGUGCGUAAUACAUCGGAACGUGCCCGAUCGUGGGGGAUAACGGAGCGAAAGCUUUGCUAAUACCGCAUACGAUCUACGGAUGAAAGCAGGGGACCGCAAGGCCUUGCGCGGACGGAGCGGCCGAUGGCAGAUUAGGUAGUUGGUGGGAUAAAAGCUUACCAAGCCGACGAUCUGUAGCUGGUCUGAGAGGACGACCAGCCACACUGGGACGGAGACACGGCCCAGACUCCUACGGGAGGCAGCAGUGGGGAAUUUUGGACAAUGGGCGAAAGCCUGAUCCAGCCAUGCCGCGUGCAGGAUGAAGGCCUUCGGGUUGUAAACUGCUUUUGUACGGAACGAAAAGACUCUUUCUAAUAAAGAGGGUCCAUGACGGUACCGGAAGAAUAAGCACCGGCUAACUACGUG
RNAcentral lists this ribosomal RNA (482 nucleotides) under uncultured bacterium. RNAcentral's name for it is "partial 16S ribosomal RNA". It matches the Rfam family "Bacterial small subunit ribosomal RNA", at positions 30 to 507 of the family's 1533-position model. The record is from RNAcentral.